Molecule: ribosomal RNA, 596 nt
Filed under: uncultured bacterium
Lineage: Bacteria
Description: bacterial SSU rRNA
Rfam family: Bacterial small subunit ribosomal RNA
Source: RNAcentral
CCUACGGGAGGCAGCAGUGGGGAAUUUUCCGCAAUGGGCGAAAGCCUGACGGAGCAACGCCGCGUGAGGGAUGAAGGCCUCUGGGCUGUAAACCUCUUUUAUCAAGGAAGAAGAUCUGACGGUACUUGAUGAAUAAGCCACGGCUAAUUCCGUGCCAGCAGCCGCGGUAAUACGGGAGUGGCAAGCGUUAUCCGGAAUUAUUGGGCGUAAAGCGUCCGCAGGCGGUCUUGUAAGUCUGUCGUUAAAGCGUGGAGCUCAACUCCAUUUCGGCGGUGGAAACUACAAGACUAGAGUGUGGUAGGGGCAGAGGGAAUUCCCGGUGUAGCGGUGAAAUGCGUAGAUAUCGGGAAGAACACCAGUGGCGAAGGCGCUCUGCUGGGCCAUAACUGACGCUCAUGGACGAAAGCUAGGGGAGCGAAAGGGAUUAGAUACCCCUGUAGUCCUAGCCGUAAACGAUGAACACUAGGUGUCGGGGGAAUCGACCCCCUCCGGUGUCGUAGCUAACGCGUUAAGUGUUCCGCCUGGGGAGUACGCACGCAAGUGUGAAACUCAAAAUGAAAUUGACGGCUGAGAGNGCGAGACGACACGAGGAGAGG